This 14035-nucleotide long non-coding RNA is filed under the name Capsicum annuum. Its description in RNAcentral is "long non-coding RNA (CANN_LNC009946)". Lineage: Eukaryota; Viridiplantae; Streptophyta; Magnoliopsida; Solanales; Solanaceae. The record is from RNAcentral.
UACCAUGGUUUCAUAAACACACAAGGAUCCCGCCUUGGGAAUCAUCCAACACCAACAACAUGAUCAUCAACAUUCAACAACAUCAACAUCCUACAACAUGAACAUCAUAAUUAUGGGUCAACGCUUGAGUCUUAUAAUCAAAACAUGAAUUUAAUCUCAACAAAAACAAGAACCUCAAUUUCAAACCACCUAAAUCAUGAAAAAAAUUAAUAAAAAUAUAUUCUUUGAAUUUAAAGAGAGAUUCUUGAACUUCUUAGGUGGAAGGAACCCAAGAAUCAAUAUUUGCAUACCUCAAAUUUGUGAAUCCGAAUGAACUAUUGAUUCCGGAACUCUAUUUGUAAGAUUAGUGGGUGCUCCUUGUAGCUCUCAAAAUGGAGAUUCUGAAUCUCAAAAAAUUAUUGAAAACCACAGAUGAAUUUUGAGAGAUCUUGAAUUCUUGGUUGAAGCUCAAUUGUUUGGUUCUUAAGAAUUUUCAUAAAAAUGACCAAAAUUUGGUCCAAUGUAAGCUAAAUCCCGUGUUAAAGCAUGAUUGGGGGAUGGGAAAUGUCCAUUUUGCCCCUGGAAAGAUGGAGCUGGAAAUUGAUUUUUGGCCUAGGGCUAUCUAGCAGGCAGCGCCUGGACUAUAGCCUGUGAUCCAGCGGAAGGCGCCUGCCUUAUAGACUGCGAUCUAGCGGGCGAAGCCUGACUUAUAGUUGGAGAUCCAGCGGGAGACUCGGGCCUAUCGCCUCAAUCUACUAGUUCUAAAAUCCAAACAUGAUCUUAUGCAUUCUAAAAAAUUCUGGAAACUCACCUGACAUGUACUAUGACCUUGCCCCAUCGCAACGCAACUUAAAAAUCAAAAUUUGCAGGUCGGGAAGGUCACAAAAUAAUUCGUCGAAGUUCACACGCUUAUGGAAUGAAGAAAAUUUCAAUACUUAGCCAAAUUUUUAGGUGUUAAACUUCUCUUGACAAGCUCGGAAAGGCUUUAACGACUCAAAAAACUUAUGGGGUAUUACAUUAUCUCCCCCUUGGGAAUAAUCAUCCUCAAAUUUCUCUUGAUAAGCUAUGAGUACUGAUCAACUGAAAUUACUCAAGGGUUGAGAACAUCUGAGACAUAUUUAUAUAACGGGAACUACUGAUAUACUGAAUCUUAUACUUGAACAUAUAUAUCUGAUGCAUAGAAUACUCGACUGAUAAUAUUGAUAAGCUGAAUUCUCAUACGGGACAUGCAUAUCUGAUGCAUGGAUUUAUAACUGAGUCAUUCUCAUGAACGCAUGGUUGAAUAUGCUAAUAAGCUGAACACUCUCAGCUGAACAUAAAUAUCUAAUGCAUGAAGAUCUGACUGAACUUACUCUUGAAAGCUUGACUGACUAUGCAAUGACUACUGAAGUAAAGCUUGUAAUAAGGAUCUGUGCAUGUAACUGAGUGGGGUAUCUCCCCCUUGGGACACUAUGUCCCUUUAAGAACACUUACUUCACUUAGAUACUCCAGAAAUUCUGUGGUGAUGCACAAGUCAUUUAUGAUCUAAAUCGUAAUCUUAGCUGAACUCGCAACUACUAGAAUGUUCUAUCUUGGGAUGAGUACAUCCCCAAGACUUCUGAUCGCAUGAUUAAAUAAAGAGAUUGAGAAAAUAAACUAUAUGAAUGUAACUGGCUGACUUCUGAACCGACUGCUGGCUUUACAAGCUAACGCAUACUGAAACUUAAGCUCAGACAGGAGAAAAAGAUCUAACAAUACAAAUCAUAAGGAUAAAAGGCUCAUAACUUACCCGAAUCUCUGUUAGGGAAACUUUCAUGAUCAUGGCUAGCCUGAAGUGCAUAUAAUCUAUUAUGAGCUAUCGGAUGACUAUGCUGACUUCGGGGACCUGUCUUAAGGCAGUCUCAAACUUUAUGACCUGGCUUUCCACAUCCAAAACACACAUCACUACCGGCUCUACAUACUUCCUUAUGACUCUUACCAUAUUCUUCACAUAGAGGGUAGGUAAUACCCCUGCUCUCAUUACACUGGGCAUUGGAGCGUGGUGCACUAACUGAGGAUGGAGCUGGGACUGAAAACUUUUGACUAUAGUGAGAAUGGUUACCACCCUGUGACCCUGCUUAGGAGAAACUAUGACUACUUGUUCUAGCUUUCUUAUUAGAUCUUUCUCUUUCCUCAUCUUAUCUAACUUAAUCUCCUGUACAUGCAUCAUCAAUAUCGUAAGGUUUAUCUCUCUAUUAAGCAUAGCACUUUUACACUCGUUCAACACCAACCAUGAUACACCAGUCACAAACUUACUCAUACUCACUCUAGGGUCAGCUAUCAACUCGGGGUCAUACUUAGCUAACUGAUUAAACUUAAGAUAAUACUCCUUAAUAGUCAUGGAGAUCUAUCUCAGGUUCAUAAUCUCCUCUACCUUAGUUUUUCUCAUUUCUAGCGGGAAGAACUUAUCUAAAAAGGCAUCCUAAACUACUUGCCAGGUCAUGGGAGCAUCAUCCUCUCCUGUACCCUUCCUCCAUGCUGCAACCCAAUCAUAAGCAAUGUUUCUCAGCCUAUAGGAGGCCAGUUCUACACUUUCUUCCUAAGAUACAAGCAUAACCUGGGUGAUUUUCUUUACCUCCUCUAGAAACAACUGCAGGUCCUCGUCUGCCUUAGACCCAAGGAACUCAAGAGGAUUCAUCCUUAUAAAGUCACAAAGUCUAGCUGCGGCUCCAUCACCACUUUUUUAUGUGGAGCAGCAGUCUGAGUAUUGAACCGCAUAGAAAUAGUCACAGCUUGGGCCAAUGUCUGAAAAGCAGACCGAAAUUUGGCAUGAGAUAUAUUCUCAUUCUGGGGAUCUACUGGCUGAGGAACAAGGAUUAGAAUGAAAUUUUAACUUGAUCUUUUACUCACUGGAAUAACAUGAACACUGAAAAAAAGGAAACUUUUUCCUACAACAUCUUAUAGCCUCUUGUACAUAAAUGUGGCGCGCAAUACACCCAUGUACAAAACUCUACUAGAUGUGGCAUUUUAAACUUCCUAGGACACCUAUUGAACCUUAGGCUCUGAUACCAAGUUUGUAACACCUCAAUUUUUUUAUGAUCGGAACAUCUCACAGUGCUUGUAAUCCCAAAGGACCACAAGCUAACCUUCUUUCGAUAUCUGUACCUGUUCACCGCAUAAUAUAAUAAAAUACAUGCGGAAAACUGGCGGAAACUUUCAUAAGGUUAAAAAUAUCUAAAAUACAUAAAUCUGCAAACUAAAUACUUAUAUAUAUGUCCGAAAGGCCUCUAACUGUCUAAACUAUAGAGUUGAUGGGACAUGUCCCCAACUAACUCCGGGUAAUAAAAUAGAGUGGAUGUAAUACUUCCACUGAAAUAAUAAUUGUCUCCAAAUGAAAAGGACUCACAAGUACAUCUACUGCUGCUGAAAGAAACUGGGCUGCUAAGGGUGCUCUAGGUCUCGUGCUUCUGAACCUAUGGUGUUAAAUAAAAUAACAACACUAUAGCACAAAUACGUCAGUACGAUGGAAUGUACUGAGUAUCCAAAUGAGGUAAGGCUAAAUGCAAGGGCUUAUGCAUGAACAUAACCUAAUUGAAUAAUAUGCAAUAGCUGGAUUAACAAACAUAGAGAAUCUGUAACUAAUGAUCAUACUGCGCAUACUAUCACUGAGCAUACUAGGACUAACUCUUGUAACUAAUACUGAAUUUACUCAAAUUCUUGAAUUUCUGAACAUAUUGAGAUUUAUGAAUAUCUGAAGCAACUGAAACUAAUAGCAACCCUAUCUAACGGAUUGUCUCUAAAUCUAAUAGUAUUAAGAUUAUUGACUGAAUCUGAGAUCAACUCUAUCUAGCAGGUAGUCUCUGAAUUUGUGGGUAAUAAUAUUUUAUUAACUGAAUCUGAGAUAGACCUAUCUAGCAGCGGAUCUUCGAAUUUGCAAAUAAUCAUACUUGAUGGCCUGUAUGUAAUAGCCUUAAAUUCUAUACACUGAACUGAGCUCUUUCUUGAAGUCUGAGACUGAUUCUAAAACUGAGACUGUAGGAAGUAGUUAUCUAACCGACAUGCCCCAAAUAAGUGACUAUUGCUGAAUUCAAGGUCCAAUCUAUAACCCUAAUUGGAAGGGUGUUUGUACCGCGCCACUGGUAAAGACAACUUUACAUUACCCUCUUCUAUCAGGUACUCAAGCGAGAAUGGUGAAUCCAUCAUCCAACAGGUCAAGCCACCUCAUCUACCCUCAAUUAUCAGGUAUGAUGUCUUAACCUAUGCUGGCAUCUUAGUUCUGGAGCACAAGGAUUGCUGCUAGGAAUCACACUCUCUACUAAUAGGUGAGUUCCCAUACUUGAGCUCACUCAGUGCUGAGUUCUACUCCCAUCUGAAAGACUCGGAACUGAUUCUUAACUGAGCUUAGACUAAGCUGAAUCUUGUUACAAAUUUUCUUACUUAACUGAUAUUAUUGAGUUUACUUGGUUCUGUAUCUGACGAGAUACUACUGAAUUCUACUCUCUGUGUGAUUGCUAUUGAAUCUCGUAUCUUAUCAAUCUUUACUGAAGUCUUUACUAUAUACUGAAUACUACUGAGAUUUGAACUGAGUACUGAGCUUGAUUAAACUGAAUACUGAGAUUAUCAAAUUUUUUUACUGUUCUGUCAUUGACUGAGUUCUACUGAUCAUAGAACGACUGAUAUUAUCUUGAGAAUGACUCGGAUCUAGGCACCCAACUAUGUUUUUCAGGUACAAGUACCCCCAGGACUCGAUAGAAGGAAACUGACACAACAUGACUUUCUUGAUCAUAGGACUAAAGUCAAUAAUUCAUAAUAUCAUAAGUUGGGGAUUUCAUACUACAUAUAGUUCUUGUAAUCUUAACAUGAGAGAGAAUGCAUAUACAUUACAUCAUGAGUUCUUCAAUCUAGUUUCAUGAACAUUCCAUCAACAAUCAUAAUACACAACAAUAUCAUGAGCAUUCCAUAAAACAUCUUCAAUACAAGACAAUAGCAUGAAAAUCAUGUUGAACAUAAGUAUAGAACAUGGACUUGUCAUUUAGGUCCUAUUGAGUCAUAAAGACAUGAUUUAUAGUCUCUUGGACAUUUUAACAAAUACCUUGCAUGCCCAUCUUAGGCAUAGGUUAAAUCAUCAAAAUUACACAUCACAAUGACCCAAUUUACAUGCUUCCAAUUCAUAUACUACCAUGGUUUCCUAAACACACAAGGAUCCUAUCUUGGCAAUCAUCCAACACCAACAAUAUGAUCAUCAACAUUCAACAACAUCAAUAUCAACAUCCCACAACAUGAACAUCAUAAUUAUCACAUACUGGGGUCAAGGCUUGAGUCUUAUAGUCAAAACAUGAAUUUAAUUUCAACAAUAGCAAGAACUUUAAUUUCAAACCACCUAAAUCAUGAAAAAAAAUCAUAAAAAUAUAUUCUUUGAAUUUAAAAAGGAAUUCUUAAACUUUUUGGGUGAAAGGAUCCCAAGAAUGAACACUUGCAUACCUCAAAUUUGUGAAUCCAGAUGAACUAUUGAUUUCGUAACUCUAUUCGUAAGAUUUGAAAGUGCUCCUUGUAGCUCUCGAAAUGGAGAUUUCGAAUCUCAAAAAAUUAUUGAAAAUCAUAAAUGAAUUUUGAGAGAUCUUGAAUUCUUGGUUGAAGCUCAAGUGUUUGGUUCUUGAGAAUUUUCAGAAAAAUGACCAAAAUUUGUUCCAAUGUAAGCUAUAUCCCGUGUUAAAGCAUGAUUGGGGUAUGGGAAAUGUCCAUUUUACCCCAGGAAAGACGGAGCUAGAAGCUGAUUUUUGGCCUGAGGCUAUCCAGCAGGCGGCGCCUGGACUAUUGCCCGCGAUCCAGAGGCGCAUGCCUUAUAGCCUGCGAUCCAGUGGACAACGCCUGGCUUAUAGACCGCGAUCCAGCGGGCAACGCGAGCCGAUCGCCUCGAGCUACUGGUUCUGAAAUCCAAACAUGGUCUUAUGCAUUCCAAAAAAUUCUGAAACUCACCCGAGAUAUACUAUGACCUUACCCCAUCGCUAUGCAACUUGAAAAUCAAAAUUAAGAGGUCGGGAAGGUCACAAAAUAAUUUAUCGAAGUUCACAAGCUUAUGGAAUGAAGAAAAUUUAAAUACUUAGCCAAUUUAUAUAGUGCUAAGCUUCUCCUGACAAGCUAGGAAAGGCAUUAACAACUCAAAAAACUUAUGAGGUAUUACAUUAUCUCCCCCUUGGGAACAUUCGUCCUCAAAUAUCCUUGAUAAGCUACAAGUACUGAUCAACUAAAAUUACUCAAGGGUUGAGAACAUCUGAGACAUAUAUAUAUAACAGGAACUACUGACAUACUGAAUCUUAUACUUGAACAUGCAUAGCCGAUGCAUAGAAUACUCGACUGAUAAUAUUGAUAAGCUGAAUUCUCAUACGAGACUUGCAUAUCUGAUGCAUGGAUUUAUAACUGAGUCAUUCUCAUGAAUGCAUGACUGAAUAUGCUGAUAAGCUGAACUUUCUCUGCUCAACAUGCAUAUCUAAUACAUGAAGAUCUGACUGAACUUACUCUUGAAAGCUUGACUAACUAUGCAAUGAUUUUGAUGCAAAGCUUGUAAUACGAAUCUUUGUGUGUAACUGAAUGGGGUAUCUUCCCCUUGGGACACUAUGUUCCUCUAAGAACACUUACUUCACUGAGAUACUCGAGAAAUUCUGAGGUUAUGCACAAGGCAUCAAUGAUCUGAAUCGUAACUAGGCAUGUCUCAUGAUCUUAGCUAAACUCUCAACUACUAGAAAGUUCUAUCUUGGGAUGAGUACAUCCCCAAGACUUCUAAUCGCAUGAUUAAAUAAAGAUAUUGAGAAAAUAAACUAUAUGAAUAUAAUUGGUUGACGGCUGAACCGACUACUGGGUUUACAAGCUAACUAAUGCUGAAACUUAAGCUCAGAUGGGAGCAAAAGAUCUAACAAUGCAAAUCAUAAGGAUAAAAGGCUCAUAACUUACCCAAAUCUCUGUUAGGGAAACUUUCAUGAUCAUGGCUAGCCUGAAGUCCAUACAAUCUGUUAUGAGCGGCAGGACGACUAUACUGACUUCGAGGACCAGUCUUAGGGCAGUCUCAAACUUUGUGACUUGGCUCACCACAUCCAAAAUACACAUCACUACCGGCUCUACAUACUCCUUUAGGAUUCUUACCACAUUCUUACACAGCGGGUAGGAAGACCCCCGAUCUCACUACCCUGGGCUUUAGAGCACGGUGCACUAACUUAGGAUGGAGCUGGGACUGAAAACUUUUGACUAUGGUGAGAACGUUACCACCCUGUGACCCUGAUUGGGAGAAACUAUGACUACUUCUUCUAGCUUUCUUAUUAGAUCUCUCUCUUUCCUUCAUCUUAUCUGACUCAAUCUGUUGCGCAUGUAUCAUCAAUCUUGCAAGGUUCAUCUCUCUAUUAAGUAUAGCACUUCUACACUCCUUCAACACUAACCCAGAUACACCAGUCACAAACUUACUCAUACUCACUCUAAGGUCAGCUAUCAACUCGGGGGCAUACUUAGCUAACUGAUUAAACAUAAGACAAUACUCAUUAACAUUCAUGGAGCCCUAUCUCAGGUUCAUAAACUCCUCUACAUUAGCUUCUCUCAUUUGUAGCGGGAAGAACUUAUCUAGAAAGGCAUCCUGAAAUACUUGCCAGGUCAUGGGAGCAUCAUCCUCUUCUCUACCCUUCCUCAAUGCUACAACCCAUUCAUAAGCAAUGUCUUUCAGCCUAUAGGAGGCCAGUUCUAAACUUUUUUCAUCAGAUACAUGCUUAACCUAGGUGAUUUUCUUCACCUCCUCUAGAAACAACGGAGGGUCCUUGUCUGCCUUAGAUCCAAGAACUCAAGAGGAUUCAUCCUCAUAAAUUCAAGAAGUUUGGUUGCAUCUACAUCACCAUUUUUCUUAUGUGGAGCAGCAGUCUGAGUAUUGGACUGCACAGAAACAGUCGCAGCUUGGGCCAAUGUUUGAAAAGCAGCCCAAAAUUUGGCAUGAGAUACAUUUUCAUUCUGGGGAUCUACUGGCCGAGAGGCUGACUGGUUCCCUAUUCUCUUCUUAGGAGGCAUGUUCUGCAAAUGGAAGAGGAACAAGGAUUAGACUAAAAGUUUAACUUGAGCUUUUACUCACUGGCACGACAUGAACACUGAAAGAAGGGAAACUAUUUCCUACAACAUCUUAUAGCCUCUUGUACAUAAAUGUGGCGCGCAACACACCCAUGUACAAGACUCUACUAGAUGCGGCUUUUUAGACUUCCUAGGAUACCUAAUGAACCUUAGGCUCUGAUACCAAGUUUGUAAUGCCCCAAUUUUUCUAUAACCAAAACAUCACACGGUGCUUGUAAUCCCAAAGGACCAUAUGCUAACCCUCUUCUGAUAUAUGUACUUGUUCACUGCAUAAUAUAAUAAAAUACAUGCAAAAAAAUGGCAAAAACUUGCCAUAAGGUUCAAAAUAUCUAAAAUACAUAAAUCUGCAAACUACAUACUUAUACAUAUGUUCGAAAAGCCUCUAACUGUCAGAACUGUGGAGUUGAUGGGACAUGUUCCCAACUAACUCCGACUAAUAAAAUAGACUGGAUAUAAUACUUGCACUGAAAUAAUAAUUGUCCUCUAAAGAGAAGGACUAACAAAUACUUCUACUGUUGCUGACAGGAACUGAGCUACUAAGGGUGCUCUAGGUCUCGUGCUUCUGAACCUAUGGUGUUAAAUAAAAUAACAACACCAUAGCGCAAAUGUGUCAGUACGUUGGAAUGUAUUGAGUAUGCAAAUGAUGUAAGGCUAAAUGCAAGGGCUUAUGCAUGAACAUAACUUAAUUGAAUGAUAUGCAAGAGUUGGAUUAGCAAACAUAAAGAAUCUGUAACUACUAAUCACACUGCGCAUACUGUCACUGAGCAUACUAGGACUAACUCUUGUAACUGAUACUGAAUAUAUUGAAAUUCUGGAAUUUCUGAACAUAAUGAGAUUUAUGAAUAUCUGAAGCUACUGAAACUGAUAGAAACCCUAUCUAACAGGUUGUCUCCGGAUCUAAUAGUAUUAAGAAUGAUUUACUGAAUCUGAGAUCAACCUAAUCUAGCCAGUAGUCUCUGAAUUUAUGGGUAAUAAUAUUUGAUUAACUGAAUUUGAGAUUGGCUUAUCUAGCUAAUCAUACUUGAUGGUCUAUAUCUAACAGCCUUGAAUUCUAUACACUGAACUGAGCUCUUUUUUUAAAUCAGAGACUGAUUCUGAAAUUGAGACUGUGGGAAAUAGUCAUCUAACAACAUGCCCCAAAUAAGCGACUAUUGCUGAAUUCAGGGUCCAAUCUGUAACCCCAACUGGAAAGGUGUCAGUACCACGCCUCUGGUAAAAACAACUUUAUAUUACCCUCUUCUAUCAGGUACUCAAGCGAGAAUGGUGGAGCCCUCAUCUAACUGGUCAAGCCACCUCAUCUACCCUCAACUAUCAGGUGUGAUGUCUCAACCUACGCUGGCGAUGUAGUUCUGGAGCGCACGGAUUGCUUCUAGGAAUCACACCCUCUACUAAUUGGUGAGUUUCCAUCCUUGAACUCACUCGGUGCUGAAUUCACUUCCAUCUGAAAGACUCGAAACUGAUUGUCAACUGAUCUUAGACUAAGCUAAAUCUUGUUACAAAUUUUCUACUUAACUGAUAUGACUGAGUUUGCUUGGUUCUAUAUCUGGCGGAAUACUACUGAAUUCUACUCUCUGUCUAAGGGCUAUUGAAUCUCAUAUCUUAUCGAGCUUUAUUAAAGUCUUUACUGUAUAUUGAAUUCUACUGAGAUCUGAACUGAGUACUGAGCUUGAUUAAACUGAAUACUGAGAUUAUCAAAUUUUCUUACUGUUCUAUCAAUGACUGAGUUAUACUAAUCAUAUCACGACUGAGAUUAUCUUGAAAAUGACUUGGCUCUAGGCACCCAGCUAUGUUUUUUAGGUACAAGUACCCCCAGGACUCGAUAGAAGGAAACUGACACAACAUGACUUUCUUGAUCAUAGGACUAAAGUCCAUAAUUCAUAAUAUCAUAAGUUGAAGAUUUCAUACUACAUAUGGUUCUUGUAAUCUUAAACAUGAGAGUGAAUGCAUAUACAUCACAUCAUGAGUUCUUCAAUCUAGUUUCAUGAACAUUCCAUCAACAAUCAUAAUACACAACAAUAUCAUGAGCAUUCCAUAAACCAUCUUCAAUACAAGACAAUAGCAUGGAAAUCAUGUUGAACAUAAGUAUAGAACAUGGACUUGUCAUUUAGAUCCUAUUGAGUCAUAAAGACAAGAUUUCUAGUCUCUUGGACAUUUUAACAAAAACCUUGCAUGCAUAUCUUAGGCAUAGGUGAAAUCAUCAAAAUUACACAUCACAAUGACCCAAUUUGCAUGUUUCCAAUUCAUAUACUACCAUGGUUUCAUAAACACACAAGGAUCCCAUCUUGGGAAUCAUCCAACACCAACAACAUGAUCAUCAACAUUUAACAACAUCAACAUCAACAUCCCACAACAUGAUUAUAAUUAUCAAAUACUAGGGUCAAUGCUUGAGUCUUAUAAUCAAAAUAUGAAUUUAAUCUCAACAAUAACAAGAACUUCAAUUUCAAACCACCUAAAUCAUGAAAAAAAUCACAAAAAUAUAUUCUUUGAAUUUAAAAAGGGAUUCGUGAACUUUUUGGGUGAAAGGAACCCAAGAAUCAACACUUGCAUACCUCAAAUUUGUGAAUUCGGAUGAACUAUUGAUUUUGGAACUCUAUUCAUAAGAUUAGUAAGUGCACCUUGUAGCUGUCGAAAUAGAGAUUUUGAAUCUCAAAAAAUUAUUGAAAAACUACGGAUGAAUUUUGAGAGAUCUUGAAUUCUUGGCUAAAGCUCAAGUGUUUGGUUCUUGAGAAUUUUCAUAAAAAUGACCAAAUUUUGGUCCAAUGUAAGCUAAAUCCCGCAUUAAAUCAUGAUUGAGGGAUGGGAAAUGUCCAUUUUUUCUGCGGAAAGACGGAGCUGGAAGUUGAUUUUUGGCCUGGGGCUAUUCAGCAGGCGGCACUUGGACUAAACCCAUGAUCCAGUGGGAGGCGCCUACCUUAUAGCCCAUGAUUCAGUGGGCGAUGCCUGGCUUAUAGCCCGCGAUCCAGUAGGUGACGCGGGCCUAUCACCUCGAGCUACUGGUUCUGAAAUUCAGAUAUGGCCUUAUGUGUUUCAAAAAAUUUUAAAACUCACCCGAGAUGUACUAUGACAUUGCCCUAUCGCAACGCAACUUGAAAAUCAAAAUUUGGAGGUCGAGAAGGUCACGAAAUAAUUCAUCGAAAUUCACAAGCUUAUGGAAUAAAGAAAAUUUCAACACUCAGCCAAAUUUUUAAGUGCUAAGCUUCUCUUGACAAGCUCGAAAAGGCUUUAACAACUCAAAAAACUUACGGGGUAUUACACCAUUGCAUAAGUACAUCAAUAAAAAGGGACAUACUUGAAGUCGACUUGUUAGGUCUCAAGGUGACAGAGGCGAAGUUAAAAGUUGUCACACCUCUAUUUUUUACCGCAUCCAACCCCGCUAAGGAGUUGGUUUUAAAGAAAAAUGGGUUUCUCCAAUUAAAGUGAUGUUUUGAAAAGUGAUUAUUUUAUUUACAGAGCUGCCACUUGAAAUUGAGUUUGGGUGUUCCAGGUCACCUUAUUGAAUCUUCAUUCAAAAGAAAGUGACAUUUAAUUUUUGGUCUGUGAUCUAGAAAUUCGGAUAACGAAUUUUAUUGACCGAGAUGAAGGUGUGAGGUACCCUUCGAGUCCCGUGGUUCUAGCACAGUCACUCUAAUGACUUAUGUAUGGCUUAAAUUAAUCUCUUGAAUAUAGAGGAUUUUCUAGCCUAAAAGUUACUUAUAUCCUGCUUUUAAUUUAUUUUAAGUUAUUUAAUUAUAUUAAUGAGUGGCUUGCUGGUAGUAAUACUUUCCGAUCAUGCCACGAGUUUGGAUAUAUUUAUCGCGCCUUUGAGGCCUUUAUGCGUCAUCCUAUUUUUUCAAGUCUAGAUGAGCACCUAGCAUGUUUAGAAUUUACCCAACCCAAUUAGAUCGGCUUCAAAUGGUAUGUUAAAAUUUAUUACAAUGAAUGGUCGGUAGCAGGGCUUUCCAACUUCAUUGUUAAUUUUCUCUUGUAUAUUAAACUCUUACUUUUCUAAAGAUCAAGAACCUAAGUCAUCUUUCAUGAAUUCACUCCCUUACAAUUAGCUUUUACCCUCUUUUCUUUUAUCAGUUAUGGUCGAUUUUGAAUAAAUUCGGAACAGAUCUCAUUCGCUCUCACAUAAUUAAUUCGGAACAAAAUAUUUUUAUUUUUAAAAGAUUAAUAAUUUAUUUUUGUGCUGACAUAUAACUCAAGAGAACACCAAAAAAAUAAUAAUUGAAAAAAUAAAUUUUAUAUAUAUAAAAUUUAAAGACACGAUUAAAACUCAUAAAUAUUAUUUUAAAUAUCAACUGCAUGGAAUAAUUGGACAAAUAAUUAAAAUAAUAAGAAAAAUAACUUUUUUUUAAUAACAAAUCAUUGAAUAAAAAUAGAUAAAUUUCAAACCCAACCAAUGAUGGCUAAAUUUAAGUGGGUACAUAUUUUCCAAUUCAAUAUACAAUCAAAUUUAUUAUUUACCAUAAUUAUAACUUAAUUGAACUUAAAAAGAGUGUUUUUCUAAUUCAAUACCAAAUCAAAUUUAUUACCUACCACGAUUAUUAUUUAAUUGAACCUAAAAAAAUUUUGAGUCAAAAACAAUCAAAGAACAAUUUCUACUGUUAUCAUCUCAGCAUAUGGAGGAUGAGAUCUAAGUUUUUUAAUAACAUCAAAAUUCUAUUUCCAAGGUUGCAGUAGCAACAGACACGAUUUUUGCUAAAUUCAACAAGAUAAAAUAGUUCUAUAUUUUUAAAAUUGAAAAAUAAUUUGGUUGUGAUUGUUUUCCAAAAUUCACUCGUUAGAGAUUAAUUUCGCAUGGUACGAUGGUGACGAGAAAAAACAGGAGGUAGCGGCGGUCUACCAGCGACUCCAUUUUUGCCGGUGAGUUGUCACCGAAAUCGACCUUAGGGGUCAGAUUCGAGGGAUUUCCGGUCAUGAGGGGAAUUUGGGUCGGUUUUUGGUGUAUUUCGGUGGGUUAUGAGUAGUUUUUCAGUGAGUCGUCGGUUUAGGUUGGUUAUCGAUGGAUUUUGCUGGAAAAAGGGAUGAGAGAGAAGGGAGCAACGGCAGUGGCCGGCAAUGGGGUUUUUGCCAAUUUUUUAGGCGUUGAGAGGUAGAUCUGGAUGGAUUUUGAGGUGGGGGAGGGCGGUUCCGACUGGUUCCACCAUUUUUCGGUGGGUAGUGGCGGCUAGAAGGGGUUUUGCCAGCGAGUUCUUGAUGGACUUCGCCAAAAUUGAUGGUGAGACGGGCUGGCAGCGGCAGAUCUGGCUUUUGUGGUCACCAUUGGUCCAAUUUGAAUUUUUUCCAUGAAAUUCCAUUGAGAAGCUCGGUGAAAAAUGAUUAAUUAAUACUAUUAUUUUUUUUCUGGUCAUCCCUCUCCGUUUAUCUUUUCUUUUUACUGAUUUUUCCUUCUCUAUUUUUUACUGUGCGGAUAUAUAUACAUUGUAGUCUAAGCUAUGAAAGUGUAAGUGAAUUUUCUAGUGAAGUGUAUGAAAUUAUACAGUGUCUGUAUUGAUCCCUUUUUUUAACUUAUUUCAUAUGUACAGGUGUAUGUGUUCUGUAUAUAAAAAUGAUUGUUUGUGAAUGUACAGUGAGUGCAUCUUUCUUUUUUUUUUGAAUUAUGAAAAAAUAAAUAAAUUUACAUGAAAGGGAACACGAAUUUACAAACACAACUUAACGCAAUAUUAUACAUAGCAACAAGAAAUUUUUAUUUGAUGUGACAAUAAUGAAAAUAUAUCAUCCAACUAAAUCAUGGAACGUAUACAUAAAAAAAUUAACGAAACAAUAUGUAAUAACAGCAGAACAAGCACCACUUGCAUAUUUUUAUACAUGCUUUUUCAUCAUAACAUUUAUGACAUAAAUGAUUUGAGAUCAAAAAGAACCUGUAAUGAACUUUAAUGAACAAUGAAACUUUCAAAGGAAACUUCGAACGGAACUUCAACCUCCACUCUUUUCCCUUUUCUUCUUCCCUCCUUUUUGUGUUUCUCUUUAAGGCUUUUUUUUUAUCUGACUCUGUAUUUUUUGUUUCUGUCUUUCUGAG